AACGAACGCUGGCGGCAGGCUUAACACAUGCAAGUCGAACGCCCCGCAAGGGGAGUGGCAGACGGGUGAGUAACGCGUGGGAACAUACCCUUUUCUACGGAAUAGCUCUGGGAAACUGGAAUUAAUACCGUAUACGCCCUACGGGGGAAAGAUUUAUCGGGGAAGGAUUGGCCCGCGUUGGAUUAGCUAGUUGGUGGGGUAAAGGCCUACCAAGGCGACGAUCCAUAGCUGGUCUGAGAGGAUGAUCAGCCACAUUGGGACUGAGACACGGCCCAAACUCCAAGGGAGGGAAGGGGGGGGAAAAAUUGGCAAAGGGGCGAAAGCCUGAUCCAGCCAUGCCGGGUAAGUGAUAAAGGCUUUAGGUUUUUAAAGCUCUUUCCCCGAUAAAGAAAAUGCCGGUAGGGGGAGAAGAACCCCCGGUAAACUUCG
This 429-nucleotide ribosomal RNA is filed under the name uncultured bacterium. RNAcentral describes it as "partial 16S ribosomal RNA". It matches the Rfam family "Bacterial small subunit ribosomal RNA", at positions 29 to 505 of the family's 1533-position model. The record is from RNAcentral.